This 496-nucleotide ribosomal RNA is filed under the name uncultured bacterium. RNAcentral's name for it is "partial 16S ribosomal RNA". It matches the Rfam family "Bacterial small subunit ribosomal RNA", at positions 28 to 506 of the family's 1533-position model. The record is from RNAcentral.
GAUGAACGCUGGCGGCGUGCCUUAUACAUGCAAGUCGAGCGAACGGACGAGAAGCUUGCUUCUCUGAUGUUAGCGGCGGACGGGUGAGUAACACGUGGAUAACCUACCUAUAAGACUGGGAUAACUUCGGGAAACCGGAGCUAAUACCGGAUAAUAUUUUGAACCGCAUGGUUCAUAAGUGAAAGACGGUCUUGCUGUCACUUAUAGAUGGAUCCGGGCUGCAUGAGCUAGUUGGUAAGGUAACGGCUUACCAAGGCAACGAUGCAUAGCCGACCGGAGAGAGUGAUCGGCCCCACUGGAACUGAGACACGGCCCGGCCCCCUACGGGAGGCAGAAGGAGGGAAUCUGCAGAAAUGGGCGAAAGCCUGACGAAGAAACGCCGCGUGAGUGAGGAGGGUCUUCGGAUCGUAAAACUCUGUUACGAGGGAAGAAAAUAUGUGUAAGUAACUGUGCACAGCUGGACGGUCCCGAAGCAGAAAGCCACGGCUAAUUACGU